UGUAAGCGUAUACCAAAGUUGUUGCAGUUAAAACGCUCGUAGUCGGAAUUUGGCAGUUCCGGAAGUGUGCACGUCGUGUGCGCACUUUGCGGGGACUGCUUUUGUGGUCUUGCGUAGGAUGAGGCACUUUCAUUAGUGAACGUCCUCACGCAACCACUCUUUACUGUGAGAAAAUCAGAGUGCUCAAAGCAGGCAUUUGCCGUGAAUGUAUUAGCAUGGAAGAAUAGAAUAGGACUCGGUUCUAUUUUGUUGGUUUGUUGGGACUGAGUAAUGAUUAAGAGGGACAGUUGGGGGCAUUUGUAUUCCGGCGCUAGAGGUGAAAUUCUUAGAUUGCCGGAAGACAAACUGCUGCGAAAGCGUCUGCCAAGGAUGUUUUCAUUGA
Molecule: ribosomal RNA, 382 nt
Filed under: uncultured eukaryote
Lineage: Eukaryota
Description: partial 18S ribosomal RNA
Rfam family: Eukaryotic small subunit ribosomal RNA
Source: RNAcentral